CACACCAUGGUCUCAAGAGGGAAAAUGAGUGCUCUAUGGAUUGAACAGAAAAGGUGAAUCAAAACUCCAACCAUCUGUAUGAGGGUCUGGAUGGAUAAAGGAUGCCCACUGGAGCUGGAAAUGAUGGAUCAGGUGGAUCCACACUUGAACCAUCUGUAUGAUGAUCUGCACCCACUGGAUCUGUAAAUGGUGGUGCAGAAUUCUGGCCUGGUGUUUGGUCCCCCCUUUCUCUGGCUUGUGUCUCCAUCAUCAUUACACUCUUGUCAGUGUAAUAGUAUCGUCGUCUGCGUACCAGGACUUUGUUACUCAGCUGUCCCUUCUCCUU
Paramisgurnus dabryanus is the source of this 325-nucleotide long non-coding RNA. RefSeq lists it as uncharacterized. The record is from RefSeq and is a predicted model, not a curated record. Lineage: Eukaryota; Metazoa; Chordata; Actinopteri; Cypriniformes; Cobitidae.